This 599-nucleotide long non-coding RNA is filed under the name Cyanistes caeruleus (blue tit). RNAcentral describes it as "lncRNA (ENSCCEG00000012337.1)". The record is from RNAcentral. Lineage: Eukaryota; Metazoa; Chordata; Aves; Passeriformes; Paridae.
AACGUUUGCGUUGGUGCAGCCCUCACACCUGGCAUGUCUGGGGGAGGCCGGAGAGUUAAAAGCUUCAAACGCCGCUUGACAAAAGAACAAUGACAUUUAAUACAGCCGGAUGCUACAGGUUUCCUGCACUCCUCGCUCCCAGAAGGCAGCAGUGAAAAUAAAGAGCUUAGUGACGCUCCCUUAGACAUACUGAUCAUUCAUGCAUAAAUCAAAUUCCAAAGUAGCAAAGGCCAGACCAAAACAGAACAUUAUGCAGGAUAAGAAAUGCACCUCUGCAUCUCCUGAUUCAGAAGCUGAAUCCUCACUGGUCCCUCAGGAGGCCAUAACCACCAUCAAAGUUCCAGCCACAGAGACCACGAUGUGCAGAUGGCAUUGCAGGACAUCAAGUGCCCAUCAAAGUCACACUAUCACUCCUCAGCUGGACAGGGGUGGGGAAAUAACAACCAAAGGCACAUUGGUCAAGAUAAAGACAGGGAGAAAUCACUCACAAGUUACAAGUUACCAUCAUAGGGAAAAUGGGCUUGACUGGAAGGAAUUAAUUUGUUACCAAUAAAAUAAUAAGAAAUAAAACCGAAUUAAAAGCACUUUCUCUCUUUCUU